This 253-nucleotide ribosomal RNA is filed under the name uncultured bacterium. Its description in RNAcentral is "partial 16S ribosomal RNA". It matches the Rfam family "Bacterial small subunit ribosomal RNA", at positions 524 to 776 of the family's 1533-position model. The record is from RNAcentral.
CACGUAGGGUGCGAGCGUUGUCCGGAAUCAUUGGGCGUAAAGAGCGCGUAGGCGGCCAGAUAAGUCCGGUGUGAAAGUCACAGGCUCAACCUGUGAAUGCCGCUGGAAACUGUCUGGCUAGAGUCCGGAAGGGGCGAGUGGAAUUCCUGGUGUAGCGGUGAAAUGCGCAGAUAUCAGGAGGAACACCGGUGGCGAAGGCGGGUCUCUGGGCCGAUACUGACGCUGAGGAGCGAAAGCGUGGGGAGCGAACAGG